RNAcentral lists this ribosomal RNA (467 nucleotides) under uncultured bacterium. RNAcentral describes it as "partial 16S ribosomal RNA". It matches the Rfam family "Bacterial small subunit ribosomal RNA", at positions 28 to 506 of the family's 1533-position model. The record is from RNAcentral.
GACGAACGCUGGCGGCGUGCUUAACACAUGCAAGUCGAACGGAAAGGCCCUGCUUUUGUGGGGUGCUCGAGUGGCGAACGGGUGAGUAACACGUGAGUAACCUGCCCUUGACUUUGGGAUAACUUCAGGAAACUGGGGCUAAUACCGGAUAGGAGCUCCUGCUGCAUGGUGGGGGUUGGAAAGUUUCGGCGGUUGGGGAUGGACUCGCGGCUUAUCAGCUUGUUGGUGGGGUAGUGGCUUACCAAGGCUUUGACGGGUAGCCGGCCUGGGAGGGUGACCGGCCACAUUGGGACUGAGAUACGGCCCAGACUCAUACGGGAGGCAGCAGUGGGGAAUAUUGCACAAUGGGCGGAAGCCUGAUGCAGCAACGCCGCGUGCGGGAUGACGGCCUUCGGGUUGUAAACCGCUUUCGCCUGUGACGAAGCGUGAGUGACGGUAAUGGGUAAAGAAGCACCGGCUAACUACGU